This 216-nucleotide long non-coding RNA is filed under the name Elaeis guineensis (African oil palm). RNAcentral's name for it is "long non-coding RNA (EGUI_LNC033852)". The record is from RNAcentral. Lineage: Eukaryota; Viridiplantae; Streptophyta; Magnoliopsida; Arecales; Arecaceae.
UUCGCGAUCAAAUGAUAUGCUAUUACUAGGAUGAUAGACAUCAAGUGUAGGUCAUUGUGUGCCAUAUAGGUUGGUUGUCCUCUUAACCAAGGAGCAUGGAGAUGCUGGUAUGGCAUGCAGGUGAAAUAUAGGAGUAUAUUUCACUGAACGUGACCAACUCAGGAGCACUCUACUGUCAAGAGUCACUCUGAAGGGAUAUGGGUAUAAGUAUCCCUC